UACGUAGGGUGCAAGCGUUGUCCGGAAUUAUUGGGCGUAAAGAGCUCGUAGGCGGUCUGUCGCGUCGGAUGUGAAAACCCAGGGCUCAACCCUGGGCCUGCAUUCGAUACGGGCAGACUAGAGUUCGGUAGGGGAGACUGGAAUUCCUGGUGUAGCGGUGAAAUGCGCAGAUAUCAGGAGGAACACCGGUGGCGAAGGCGGGUCUCUGGGCCGAAACUGACGCUGAGGCACGAAGGCCAGGGGAGCAAACGGG
RNAcentral lists this ribosomal RNA (253 nucleotides) under uncultured bacterium. RNAcentral describes it as "partial 16S ribosomal RNA". It matches the Rfam family "Bacterial small subunit ribosomal RNA", at positions 524 to 776 of the family's 1533-position model. The record is from RNAcentral.